Molecule: long non-coding RNA, 1295 nt
Organism: Topomyia yanbarensis
Lineage: Eukaryota; Metazoa; Arthropoda; Insecta; Diptera; Culicidae
Exons: 3
Source: RefSeq, a predicted model, not a curated record
AUUGGAUCCGAAGAUCACUAAAAAUUGGGUGGAUGAAAUGGUUAGAUGCAAAAUACCAAAGGGGAAACGAGAUGUGGUUCGAUCCCGAUCGGUACCAAAUGAGUUCGUAAUGUAAUUUCCGGUUUCAAAAACCCAAAACUCGUUAAUCUGAGGAUUCACAGUCUCCCUGUUCAACCAUUUCAAGUUACUCAGUGGAAGAAGUUAGAGUGUGCUUGGUAGUGUCGUGAUUUCGUUGAGGGUUAGCGCAAUUAGGAGAUCAGUGAAUGUGUGGAGACUUUGCGGGCAAGUGCGAGGAAACAGAGAGCCGUGCGACGGCUUUUAAUUCCAGAUUUUGCGCCUGGCGAAGCUACCACCGCACCGCCAGCAAAGAUCAUCCCACCUCCUGCCACCACACUCUGGAUUCAAGUUUCCAAUCGAGGAAUUGCGUCAGUUGCAGCAAAAACUCGGACAAAAAAGCGCCGCCACGUGCGUAAUGCGGCAUUACUAAACGCCGUCAACCGGAUCCCUAACAUCCGUAUUUUGAUGCUGGUACGCUGUCCGGAGGUCGGACACUACCAGCAGUUAACUUAAACCUGUGCUAGGACCUCAACAACAGCCUUGGCGCUAGAAAGCGCAAAACAGCCGUUCCGUCGCUGAGUCGUCAUCGUCGAAUUUGGUACAAGCAGCGGGUCACCAGCAGUCGUCGCCGUUGAUGGUGUGAGUACGCAUCGAAAGCAGUGGGAGAUGGUCAGCGAAUAAGUAGAGUGAGUAAACGCCUAAAUUCCCUGCGCAGGGUGACAAAAGCUCGAGAAUAUUAUAGCGUGUUUACACAGUUUCCCACCCGCACUUGUUAGGGCCCUGAACCGGCAUUAGAAAUGUAGAAUAAGUAAAUUAAGAGUAGGAUGUUAGUUUGUAAAAUAAAUGUUGAAAGUUAGUUUGCGUUUCCUACAAGAUGUUUUAGUGUUUGAAGUGAUAUUUUUUGUAGGUUUGUCGAAUUAAAGGGUCUCAUGUUUCGCGUUCGUUUCUGGUAGUUUUUCGUUUGUACUCUGGGUAGGACUGCUCGGGAAAACAGUCCCCACUCUGGUUUCUGAAGCUGGCUUGUUAUUUGGUAGUUUAUUAGGGAUUCUGCCAGUGAUGAGAACCACGAGUUGGUGUAAAUUUUCGGUAAAUUAGUUGCGAACUCUUUGGUUAUUGGUUGGUAUCGUCCUGCGAGGCGGAGUACCCUUCGGCUUUUGCGUCUGCCGUUUCGUUUUCCCCCAAAUUUUAGUAAACUAACCCGCCCUGGGGUUGGGUGUCUUGUCGGGCAACCUAGAACA